AUGUAUUUUUUGUCUCUUUUGGUCACGACUAUAUCCCCUCAACUUAGCACAGUGGCAGGUAUAAAGCAAGGGCUCAACACAUUUAUGCCGAAUGAGCAGUCUCCUCAAAAACAAGAUCUUGUCCUCUUCUUCUUCUUUUUUUUUUUAAGUAUAUUUAUUUUUAGUGUAAUCUCUACACCCAACACAGGGCUCAAACUCACAACCCUGAGAUCAAGAGUUGCAUGCCCCUCGGACCAAGCCAGGCAGGCGCCCCCGAUCUCAUCCUCUUCUGCUACCACACCCAACUUAUCAGAACAGGCACUGAUUAUGGACACUCCCGUGCGGAAGAGGGGCUCCAUAGGAAAUCCAUGGGGAGAUACAGAUGAGCUCUACAGAGAGCUUGUGACCGCCAACUCAUACUUCGUUCUUGCUCUUCGGGCUCCAUGUGAAGCUUCCCGAUGGCCUGACUCUAAGAAACUUUCAAGCACGUAUGCUUUAAGAAUAAUACAUCCCUCUCAGAACUACACCACUGAAAGGGCAUCCUCUACUAACAGACUCCACUAG
This 543-nucleotide long non-coding RNA is filed under the name Ursus maritimus (polar bear). RNAcentral describes it as "lncRNA (ENSUMAG00000013135.1)". The record is from RNAcentral. Lineage: Eukaryota; Metazoa; Chordata; Mammalia; Carnivora; Ursidae.